This 330-nucleotide unclassified non-coding RNA is filed under the name rhizosphere metagenome. Its description in RNAcentral is "partial ribosomal RNA internal transcribed spacer region". The record is from RNAcentral.
GUAGGUGAACCUGCGGAAGGAUCAUUAAUUAAAUCUAUAAGCCGUAAGAAGGUUGAUGAGCGUAACGCGUAAGCGUAAGCGAGUUGCCUUCCAAGGCCAGAUUUGACAGUAAUCGUGCGAAAGUGCGAUUCAGGCAAAUCUGCAAAUGAUCACCAAAAUGUGAAUUUAUUCAAUUUUGGGGAUCGCAUACGCUAUCUUUACAGAUAGCACAGAAGCUGCAGCAAGGUUAGCUCCUGACGGAAACUAAUCUUGCCUUGCACGCAACCACGAUAUAUAUUGACAAUGCAGACAAAAAAUACAAAACUUUUAACAAUGGAUCUCUUGGCUCUU